AGAGUUUGAUCAUGGCUCAGGACGAACGCUGGCGGCGUGCUUAACACAUGCAAGUCACGGGGGUCCCGGGGGCAACUCUGGGAUAACCGGCGAACGGGUGCGUAACACGUGAACAACCUGCCCUCGUGUGGGGGAUAGCCGGGCUAACGCCCGGGUAAUACCGCAUACGUUCUCGUGGGGGAGUCCCUGCGGGAGGAAAGCUCUGGCGCACGGGGAGGGGUUCGCGGCCUAUCAGCUUGUUGGCGGGGUAACGGCCCACCAAGGCGACGACGGGUAGCUGGUCUGAGAGGAUGGCCAGCCACAUUGGGACUGAGAGACGGCCCAGACUCCUACGGGAGGCAGCAGUGGGGAAUCUUGCGCAAUGGUCUAACGACUGACGCAGCGACGCCGCGUGUGGGAGGACGCCUUUCGGGGUGUAAACCACUGUUGCCCGGGACGAACAGCGCUAUUCGUGGCGUCUGACGGUACCGGGUGAGGAAGCACCGGCUAACUCCGUGCCAGCCGCCGCGGUAAUAC
RNAcentral lists this ribosomal RNA (516 nucleotides) under uncultured bacterium. RNAcentral describes it as "bacterial SSU rRNA". It matches the Rfam family "Bacterial small subunit ribosomal RNA", at positions 8 to 526 of the family's 1533-position model. The record is from RNAcentral.